RNAcentral lists this long non-coding RNA (224 nucleotides) under Lathyrus oleraceus (garden pea). RNAcentral's name for it is "Pisum sativum (pea) long non-coding RNA (PSAT_LNC008453)". The record is from RNAcentral. Lineage: Eukaryota; Viridiplantae; Streptophyta; Magnoliopsida; Fabales; Fabaceae.
UAACUAUACUUGACUUAAAAUGUAAAAAAAAACAAAAAGAACUAACACUCAUUCAAACCUUUUUACGCCUUUUGUGCCUUUGUUAAACUUAAACUUUUGUUAAAAGCAAUACACCCAUUUUGAAAUUGUUGCCACGAACUACGAGGUUUUGAUCCCUCAUUUUAUGUUGGUACGUAGGCACAAGUCCGAAGGUCUUGUCAAACACAAAAAUAUAAUUAAUGAAU